RNAcentral lists this unclassified non-coding RNA (145 nucleotides) under soil metagenome. RNAcentral's name for it is "partial internal transcribed spacer 1". The record is from RNAcentral.
UAAUAAGUGUUUUAUGGCACUUUUUAAAUCCAUAUCCACCUUGUGUGCAAUGUCAGUCGAUCUUCUUCAUGGAGAUCGACCAAACAUCAACCUUUAUCUUUUAACUCUUUGUCUUAAAAAUAUUAUGAAUAAACAAUUCAAAGUA